AGCUCCAAUAGCGUAUUUUAAAGUUGUUGCGGUUAAAACGUUCGUAGUCGUAUUUCUGCUUCGGAUCUUCCUUUCAAAAGUGAGAAUUCGAGCAUUGGUGUGGGCGGUUUACGUCACUUAAUUGUGCCGUUGCGUAAAUCCACACUUAUUAUCUUGAGGAAAUUAGAGUGUUUAAAACGUGCAUGGGAUGAAUAUAAUAGCAUGGGACAAUGUGAAACGGGGACGAGAUUGGCGUGGAUUAUGGCUCGGCCCAAUUUUCAAAAGGAGCAUUUGGGGGUAUCCGUAUUGAGCUGCUAGAGGUGAAAUUCUUGGAUUUUUUUAAGACGAACAAAUGCGAAAGCAUUUACCAAGGAUGUUU
RNAcentral lists this ribosomal RNA (358 nucleotides) under uncultured eukaryote. RNAcentral's name for it is "SSU rRNA". It matches the Rfam family "Eukaryotic small subunit ribosomal RNA", at positions 587 to 969 of the family's 1831-position model. The record is from RNAcentral.